AGUGAACGCUGGCGGUAGGCCUAACACAUGCAAGUCGAACGGCAGCACAGUAAGAGCUUGCUCUUACGGGUGGCGAGUGGCGGACGGGUGAGGAAUACAUCGGAAUCUACUUUUUCGUGGGGGAUAACGUAGGGAAACUUACGCUAAUACCGCAUACGACCUACGGGUGAAAGCAGGGGAUCUUCGGACCUUGCGCGAUUGAAUGAGCCGAUGUCGGAUUAGCUAGUUGGCGGGGUAAAGGCCCACCAAGGCGACGAUCCGUAGCUGGUCUGAGAGGAUGAUCAGCCACACUGGAACUGAGACACGGUCCAGACUCCUACGGGAGGCAGCAGUGGGGAAUAUUGGACAAAGGGCGCAAGCCUGAUCCAGCCAUACCGCGUGGGUGAAGAAGGCCUUCGGGUUGUAAAGCCCUUUUGUUGGGAAAGAAAAGCAGCAGGUUAAUACCCCGCUGUUCUGACGGUACCCAAAGAUUAAGCACCGGCUAACUUCGUG
Molecule: ribosomal RNA, 492 nt
Filed under: uncultured bacterium
Lineage: Bacteria
Description: partial 16S ribosomal RNA
Rfam family: Bacterial small subunit ribosomal RNA
Source: RNAcentral